RNAcentral lists this ribosomal RNA (439 nucleotides) under uncultured bacterium. RNAcentral's name for it is "partial 16S ribosomal RNA". It matches the Rfam family "Bacterial small subunit ribosomal RNA", at positions 338 to 795 of the family's 1533-position model. The record is from RNAcentral.
CCUACGGGUGGCAGCAGUGGGGGAUAUUGCACAAUGGGGGAAACCCUGAUGCAGCGACGCCGCGUGUGGGAAGACGGUCUUCUGGAUUGUAAACCACUGUCCCCAGGGACGAAAAUGACGGUACCUGGGGAGAAAGCUCCGGCUAACUACGUGCCAGCAGCCGCGGUAAUACGUAGGGAGCAAGCGUUGUCCGGAAUUACUGGGUGUAAAGGGGGCGUAGGCGGGGAUGCAAGUUGGGUGUCAAAACUACCGGCUCAACCGAUAGUCGCACUCAAAACUGAAACUUUUGAGUGAAGUAGAGGCAGGCGGAAUUCCUAGUGUAGCGGUGAAAUGCGUAGAUAUUAGGAGGAACACCAGUGGCGAAGGCGGCCUGCUGGGCUUUUACUGACGCUGAGGCUCGAAAGUGUGGGAGCAAACAGGAUUAGAUACCCUUGUAGUC